UGGGCUUCAGUGAAGCAUGCAGCACAACAGGAGUUAGCAGACCACAAAGAGCAUGUCUGGACCUAGAACCACAGCAUGUAACCUCGGAAGCAGUGAGACACCAGCCAGCAUGGACAAGCAGCAGGCACUUGCUCUAUACCAGAUAUGCUGCAUGAUAGAACGCUAUGCCCUCUCACAGAUAGGUCCCACCUCCAGCCUUCCCCUGCUGCCAUCUAACAUCCUAAACUCCAGCUCUGAAUGUCUGUCUCCUGCUCUGAAUCUUCAGUGACUUCGAAACUCAAGUCAGGACACCUCUCAGUUUGGCCUCACUGCUCAAGAUUGAGCUGAAUUCAUGACCAUAAUUCAAGCAUUCAGAUUCAUGGGCUGUUUUGUGGGUUUUGCUAUCUCUUAUUUUGUUUUUGCACAUCUUACCCACUGAAACGUUGGGCUGCAAAAAGUUUGAUCACUAAAUAUGUAGGCAAUGCUGGAUACUGGGCUGUUAUUUACAUAUUUGUAUCACCUUUUAUUUCAUAAGAUAGCAUUGUCAGAGUAAUUUAGUAUUUCAACAUAAUCAACAAGUAAAAUAAAAUUAAUGAGAAUGA
This 581-nucleotide long non-coding RNA is filed under the name Homo sapiens (human). RNAcentral's name for it is "non-protein coding lnc-SAMD11-7:30". Lineage: Eukaryota; Metazoa; Chordata; Mammalia; Primates; Hominidae. The record is from RNAcentral.